This is a long non-coding RNA of Mus musculus (house mouse), 1133 nucleotides long. RefSeq annotates it as predicted gene, 33297. NCBI's taxonomy places the organism in Eukaryota, Metazoa, Chordata, Mammalia, Rodentia, Muridae. The transcript is spliced from 3 exons. The record is from RefSeq and is a predicted model, not a curated record.
UAGUGGACUGAACCUCUGAAACUGUAAGUCAGCCCCAAUUAAAUGUUUCCUAUUAUAAGAGUUGCCUUGGACAUGUUGUCCCUUUACGGCAAUAACAUCCAGAUUAAAACAGGGUGUCUGGGAAAUGUGGACUUGCUGGUGGAAGUACAUCACUGGGAUAAAUAAGCUUUGAGGCUGCAAAGCCACGCAUGCCGAAGCUCGAAAGGAAGAACAGCCCAAAGCUGACCUCUGACCUCCACAAGCAUGUGCACACACAUACACACAUGUGCACAUGCAUGCAUGUGAACAUACAUGGGCAAAACCAAAUACAGACAAAAGCAGCAGCCCAUUUCUCCUCAACGUUUGCUUCCUCUCUGCCUGUUCUCCUUCCCUUCCUGCCUUGGCAAAUGUCUCCAGGUGACUCCAAGCACUUCUCCCCUGGCUCUGACCGACUUGUGGCUGGUGACAAGUCAAGACCCAGGACCCACCUUAGAAAUCCAGUUGGGAAGCCCUAUGCCAGUGGCCCGUGACAGAUGCCGGCAGUGAACAGCCAAGGGCGGUGGCCCUAGGAAUCCCCCAGGUGACGGGAGAUGCCAGUCUGGAUUUGCCAGAAGUGGAGUAGAGAAUAAUUCAUCUGCUAGAGUCUCUCAGGCAGUAGUCCUGAUUGCACAACAUAGAAAUUACACAGAAGACAGAAAUGGAGAAGAACUCCGUGGCUGAGUUUGUAUUAUUUAGGGAGCUGGAGAGCAUACCCAUUCCCAGUGAGAUACACAUAUUUCUAAAGCUAAAAACAGCUUCCUGGUUGAGCCAGGAAAAGACAUCUCGCUCACAUUGUCAUCCUGGGCUGGAAGAGAAAGUGUGUCCUGCCUCAUACCUCAUUUAUAAAGUGACCCAGGGAAGGGGUACUAUAUAGGUCUCAUCCCAGUGGGUGUGAGACUCGGAUAUGCAAAGAUGUACGGCCACAUUGGUGCCCGUGGCUACUUUCUCACCGCAGGCUUUGAAUGCUGGCUAGGGCAGUUCUUGGCACACAUAGGAAGUAAGACAAGAUCAAGUCCAAAUGACGGUGGCUGCAGAUGAAUCAUCUCCUCUGUGCUUCACAUUUCAUAUAUCUAUCCCAGAAAGCAACUGUUAGAAUAAAACUGUGUAUGUCCAAA